CCUACGGGAGGCAGCAGUGGGGAAUAUUGCACAAUGGGGGAAACCCUGAUGCAGCGACGCCGCGUGAGUGAAGAAGUAUUUCGGUAUGUAAAGCUCUAUCAGCAGGGAAGAAAAUGACGGUACCUGAUUAAGAAGCCCCGGCUAACUACGGGCCAGCAGCCGCGGGAAUACGUAGGGGGCAAGCGUUAUCCGGAUGUACUGGGGGUUAAGGGGGCGUAGACGGGAGCACAAGUCUGGAGUGAAAUGCCGGGGCUUAACCCCGGAACUGCUGUGGAAACUGUGCAGCUAGAGUGCAGGAGAGGUAAGUGGAAUUCCUAGUGUAGCGGUGAAAUGCGUAGAUAUUAGGAGGAACACCAGUGGCGAAGGCGGCUUACUGGACUGUAACUGACGUUGAGGCACGAAAGCGUGGGGAGCAAACAGGAUUAGAUACCCUAGUAGUC
RNAcentral lists this ribosomal RNA (440 nucleotides) under uncultured bacterium. RNAcentral's name for it is "partial 16S ribosomal RNA". It matches the Rfam family "Bacterial small subunit ribosomal RNA", at positions 338 to 795 of the family's 1533-position model. The record is from RNAcentral.